Molecule: ribosomal RNA, 253 nt
Filed under: uncultured bacterium
Lineage: Bacteria
Description: partial 16S ribosomal RNA
Rfam family: Bacterial small subunit ribosomal RNA
Source: RNAcentral
UACGGGGGGGGCAAGCGUUGUUCGGAAUUACUGGGCGUAAAGGGCUCGUAGGCGGCCAACUAAGUCAGACGUGAAAUCCCUCGGCUUAACCGGGGAACUGCGUCUGAUACUGGAUGGCUUGAGUUUGGGAGAGGGAUGCGGAAUUCCAGGUGUAGCGGUGAAAUGCGUAGAUAUCUGGAGGAACACCGGUGGCGAAGGCGGCUAUCUGGACAGAAACUGACGCUGAGGCGCGAAAGCUAGGGGAGCAAACAGG